Molecule: ribosomal RNA, 387 nt
Filed under: uncultured bacterium
Lineage: Bacteria
Description: bacterial SSU rRNA
Rfam family: Bacterial small subunit ribosomal RNA
Source: RNAcentral
AUUGAACGCUGGCGGCAUGCCUUACACAUGCAAGUCGAACGGCAGCGGGCCUUCGGGUGCCGGCGAGUGGCGAACGGGUGAGUAAUGCAUCGGAACGUGCCAUUGAGUGGGGGGAUAACGUAGCGAAAGUUACGCUAAUACCGCAUAUUCUGUGAGCAGGAAAGCAGGGGACCGCAAGGCCUUGCGCUCUUUGAGCGGCCGAUGUCAGAUUAGCUAGUUGGUGAGGUAAAGGCUUACCAAGGCGACGAUCUGUAGCGGGUCUGAGAGGAUGAUCCGCCACACUGGAACUGAGACACGGUCCAGACUCCUACGGGAGGCAGCAGUGGGGAAUUUUGGACAAUGGGCGCAAGCCUGAUCCAGCCAUGCCGCGUGAGUGAAGAAGGCCUC